This 435-nucleotide long non-coding RNA is filed under the name Gossypium raimondii (Peruvian cotton). Its description in RNAcentral is "long non-coding RNA (GRAI_LNC008948)". Lineage: Eukaryota; Viridiplantae; Streptophyta; Magnoliopsida; Malvales; Malvaceae. The record is from RNAcentral.
GCAAGUUGACGUAACACGUUAAAUCAUCAUUUCAAACAAAAAUUUUAGGUUGAAUUAUACAAUUGUUCCCCAUAUUUUUUUUCAUUUUGAGCAAUUUAAUUUUUUUCUUUUAUAUUAUUUUAACUUUCCUUUUUUUCUUCAUUUUUUUAUUCUCUUCUACUUUUCUCUCUUUUUUCCUCCCUUCUCUAUCUCUUUUAACGUAGUUUUUCUAUAUUUUACAUUUGUUAAAACUUUAUUAUGUUUAUGAAAAAAGAAAAAGGCAAAAGCUUAAACCAAAAUAAAACUUGCUUCACAUAUUCUCACCCCACAAUUACAAAACCUCAUCAUUCAUUAUCGCUUUAACAAACCAAUUCGGAUCUCUCAAUGACCUAAUCCACAAGCUCGCCUCACUCAAAGACCUCGCUAGUCAUGGCUGAUGGCAGUCCACCCUCAACA